This 74-nucleotide transfer RNA is filed under the name Candidozyma auris. Its description in RNAcentral is "[Candida] auris tRNA-Ile". The record is from RNAcentral. Lineage: Eukaryota; Fungi; Ascomycota; Pichiomycetes; Serinales; Metschnikowiaceae.
GUUAAUGUAAGUCAAGUGCAUUCUCUGCACUGUCGCGCCUCGGCCCCACAGUCCAAUUUAAGACACCUUAGAUA